RNAcentral lists this non-coding RNA (30 nucleotides) under Rattus norvegicus (Norway rat). The record is from RNAcentral. Lineage: Eukaryota; Metazoa; Chordata; Mammalia; Rodentia; Muridae.
UAGGCCUCAAUCCAUUGACUGAAAAACCUU